RNAcentral lists this ribosomal RNA (301 nucleotides) under uncultured bacterium. Its description in RNAcentral is "partial 16S ribosomal RNA". It matches the Rfam family "Bacterial small subunit ribosomal RNA", at positions 509 to 807 of the family's 1533-position model. The record is from RNAcentral.
CAGUCGCCGCGGUAAUACGUAGGGUGCGAGCGUUAAUCGGAAUUACUGGGCGUAAAACGUGCGCAGGCGGUUGUGUAAGACAGGUGUGAAAUCCCCGGGCUUAACCUGGGAACUGCGCUUGUGACCGCACAGCUAGAGUAUGGCAGAGGGGGGUGGAAUUCCACGUGUAGCAGUGAAAUGCGUAGAGAUGUGGAGGAACACCGAUGGCGAAGGCAGCCCCCUGGGCCAAUACUGACGCUCAUGCACGAAAGCGUGGGGAGCAAACAGGAUUAGAUACCCGCGUAGUCCCUGUCUCUUAUAC